UUACACAUGCAAGUCGAACGGCAGCACGGGUGCUUGCACCUGGUGGCGAGUGGCGAACGGGUGAGUAAUACAUCGGAACAUGUCCUGUAGUGGGGGAUAGCCCGGCGAAAGCCGGAUUAAUACCGCAUACGAUCUAUGGAUGAAAGCGGGGGACCUUCGGGCCUCGCGCUAUAGGGUUGGCCGAUGGCUGAUUAGCUAGUUGGUGGGGUAAAGGCCUACCAAGGCGACGAUCAGUAGCUGGUCUGAGAGGACGACCAGCCACACUGGGACUGAGACACGGCCCAGACUCCUACGGGAGGCAGCAGUGGGGAAUUUUGGACAAUGGGCGAAAGCCUGAUCCAGCAAUGCCGCGUGUGUGAAGAAGGCCUUCGGGUUGUAAAGCACUUUUGUCCGGAAAGAAAUCCUUGGUUCUAAUAUAGCCGGGGGAUGACGGUACCGGAAGAAUAAGCACCGGCUAACUACGUGCCAGCAGCCGCGGUAAUACGUAGGGUGCAAGCGUUAAUCGGAAUUACUGGGCGUAAAGCGUGCGCAGGCGGUUUGCUAAGACCGAUGUGAAAUCCCCGGGCUCAACCUGGGAACUGCAUUGGUGACUGGCAGGCUAGAGUAUGGCAGAGGGGGGUAGAAUUCCACGUGUAGCAGUGAAAUGCGUAGAGAUGUGGAGGAAUACCGAUGGCGAAGGCA
This 681-nucleotide ribosomal RNA is filed under the name uncultured beta proteobacterium. RNAcentral describes it as "bacterial SSU rRNA". It matches the Rfam family "Bacterial small subunit ribosomal RNA", at positions 49 to 723 of the family's 1533-position model. Lineage: Bacteria; Pseudomonadati; Pseudomonadota; Betaproteobacteria. The record is from RNAcentral.